Non-coding RNA from Podarcis lilfordi (Lilford's wall lizard), 70 nucleotides. The record is from the annotation of a GenBank genome assembly. Lineage: Eukaryota; Metazoa; Chordata; Lepidosauria; Squamata; Lacertidae.
AGGUAGCUCAGGUGGUUAGAGAGUGGUGUUACUAACACCAAGGUUGCAGGAUUGAUCCCUGUAUGGAAUA